GUGGGGAAUUUUGGACAAUGGGCGCAAGCCUGAUCCAGCCAUGCCGCGUGAGUGAAGAAGGCCUUCGGGUUGUAAAGCUCUUUCGGCCGGGAAGAAAUCGGCGACUCUAACAUAGUCGCUGGAUGACGGUACCGGACUAAGAAGCACCGGCUAACUACGUGCCAGCAGCCGCGGUAAUACGUAGGGUGCGAGCGUUAAUCGGAAUUACUGGGCGUAAAGCGUGCGCAGGCGGGUUUGUAAGACAGAUGUGAAAUCCCCGGGCUUAACCUGGGAACUGCGUUUGUGACUGCAAGGCUAGAGUACGGCAGAGGGGGGUGGAAUUCCUGGUGUAGCAGUGAAAUGCGUAGAUAUCAGGAGGAACACCGAUGGCGAAGGCAGCCCCCUGGGCCUGUACUGACGCUCAUGCACGAAAGCGUGGGGAGCAAACAGGAUUAGAAACCCGGGUAGUCC
RNAcentral lists this ribosomal RNA (450 nucleotides) under uncultured bacterium. RNAcentral describes it as "partial 16S ribosomal RNA". It matches the Rfam family "Bacterial small subunit ribosomal RNA", at positions 354 to 796 of the family's 1533-position model. The record is from RNAcentral.